UUACCAUGCAGUCGACGAUGAACCGGUUUCGGCCGGGGAUUAGUGGCGAACGGGUGAGUAACACGUGGGCAAUCUGCCCUGCACUCUGGGAUAAGCCCGGGAAACUGGGUCUAAUACCGGAUACGACACUCCGAGGCAUCUUGGAGUGUGGAAAGUUCCGGCGGUGCAGGAUGAGCCCGCGGCCUAUCAGCUUGUUGGUGGGGUAAUGGCCUACCAAGGCGACGACGGGUAGCCGGCCUGAGAGGGUGACCGGCCACACUGGGACUGAGACACGGCCCAGACUCCUACGGGAGGCAGCAGUGGGGAAUAUUGCACAAUGGGCGAAAGCCUGAUGCAGCGACGCCGCGUGAGGGAUGACGGCCUUCGGGUUGUAAACCUCUUUCAGCAGGGAAGAAGCGAAAGUGACGGUACCUGCAGAAGAAGCACCGGCUAACUACGUGCCAGCAGCCGCGGUAAUACGUAGGGUGCGAGCGUUGUCCGGAAUUAUUGGGCGUAAAGAGCUCGUAGGCGGUUUGUCGCGUCGAUUGUGAAAGCCCGGGGCUUAACCCUGGGUCUGCAGUCGAUACGGGCAGGCUAGAGUUCGGCAGGGGAGACUGGAAUUCCUGGUGUAGCGGUGAAAUGCGCAGAUAUCAGGAGGAACACCGGUGGCGAAGGCGGGUCUCUGGGCCGAUACUGACGCUGAGGAGCGAAAGCGUGGGA
RNAcentral lists this ribosomal RNA (699 nucleotides) under Streptomyces niger. Its description in RNAcentral is "bacterial SSU rRNA". It matches the Rfam family "Bacterial small subunit ribosomal RNA", at positions 49 to 766 of the family's 1533-position model. Lineage: Bacteria; Bacillati; Actinomycetota; Actinomycetes; Kitasatosporales; Streptomycetaceae. The record is from RNAcentral.